AUUGAACGCUAGCGGCAUGCCUUAACAAUGCAAGUCGAACGAGUGGGGACGGGUGAGUAACACGUGGGUAACCUCCCAUCCGAGGGGAUAACACUUGGAAACAGGUGCUAAACCGAUCCUGAUGGAUGGACCCGCGGUGCAUUAGCUAGUUGGUGAGGUAACGGCUCACCAAGGCCACGAUGCAUAGCCGACCUGAGAGGGUGAUAGGCAACACUGGAACUGAGAAACGGCCCAGACUCCGACGGGAGGCAGCAGUAGGGAAUCUUCGGCAAUGGACGAAAGUCUGACCGAGCAAUGCCGCGUGAGUGAAGAAGGUUUGCGGAGCGGAAAACUCUGGUGUUAGAGAAGCGGUAUCUAACCAGAAAGCAACGGCUAACUACGUGCCAGCAGCCGCGGUAAUAC
Molecule: ribosomal RNA, 402 nt
Filed under: uncultured bacterium
Lineage: Bacteria
Description: partial 16S ribosomal RNA
Rfam family: Bacterial small subunit ribosomal RNA
Source: RNAcentral